This is a long non-coding RNA of Eriocheir sinensis (Chinese mitten crab), 1760 nucleotides long. RefSeq lists it as uncharacterized. The transcript has 3 exons. The record is from RefSeq and is a predicted model, not a curated record. Lineage: Eukaryota; Metazoa; Arthropoda; Malacostraca; Decapoda; Varunidae.
GUGCGGUAGAGAAGAGAAGGGAAGGGAAGGGAAGGAAAAGGAAGGGAAGGGAAAGGAAAGGAAGAAAGGGAUGGUAAGGAAAGGAAAGGAAGGGAAGGGAUGGUAAAGGAAGGGAAGGGAAGGGAAGGGAAGAUGAGUGGAGUCUAGUGAUUGGAAAGGAAGGGAAGAGAAGGGAAAGGUAGGGAAGGGAAGGGAAGGGAAAGGAAAGGGAAGGGAAGGAAAGAUAAGUGAAGUCUAAUGAGUGGAAAGGAAGGGAAGGAAAGGAAAGGGAGACUCGUAUACCAUAAGGGGAGGGGAGGAAGGGCAAACAGAAAGGAAGGGAAGGGAGGGGAAGGCUUGUGUAUCGUAGGGGAAGGGAAUGAAAGGUAAAUUGAAGUUAAGGGAAGUUAGGGACAGAUAACGAAGGGGAGAGAUGUGAAUGGAGAGAGGAGAGAAAGAGGAAAAAUGUUGUAUAGGAAAGGGAAGGAAAGGGAGGAAAAAAUGAAAGUAGAGUGAAGAAGAAAAUAAAUAGGGGAGGAAAAGAAAGGAGGAGAAAAUAAGUGGAGGCAGGAUGGAGGAAAAAAGGAAGGGGAGGAAAGGAAGAAGUGGAGAGAAAGAUGAAAUAUAGUGUAGGAGAGGGAGGAAACAAAGGGGUGGAAGGGAGGAGGAGAGAACAAGUGGAGGUAGGAUGGAGGAAAAUUGAGAGGGGGAGGAAAAGGAGGAAAGAGAAGGAGAGGGAGGAAAAAUGAAGUAGAGAAGGAAACAAAGGGGAGGAAAAGGAGGAGGAGGAGGAGGAGAGGACAAGUGGAGACAGGAUGGAGGAAAAUUGUGAGUGGGAGGAAAAGGAGGAGAAACAAGUGAGACGCAGUGUAGGAAAGAGAAGGAAAGGGGAGGAAAAAUGAAGUGGAGAAGGAAACAAAGGGGAGGAAAAGGAGGAGGAGGAGGGAACAAGUGGAGGAAAGUGCGAAGGAAUGGAGGAAAAUUUAGAGGGGGAGAAAGGAAAAAGUGGAGAGAAAGGGGAAAUAUAGUGUAGGAGAGGGAAGGAAAGGGAGGAAACAAAGGGGAGAAAAGGGAGGAGGAGAGAACAAGUGGAGGCAGGAUGGAGGGAAAGUGCGGAGGAAUGGAGGAAAAUUUAGAGGGGGAGAAAGGAAAAAGUGGAGAGAAAGGGGAAAUAUAGUGUAGGAGAGGGAAGGAAAGGGAGGAAACAAAGGGGAGGAAAGGGAGGAGGAGAGAACAUGUGGAGGCAGGAUGGAGGAAAAUUUAGAGGGGGAGAAAGGAAAAAGUGGAGAGAAAGGGGAAAUAUAGUGUAGGAGAGGGAAGGAAAGGGAGGAAACAAAGGGGAGGAAAGGGAGGAGGAGAGAAAACAUGUGGAGGCAGGUGGAGGAAAGUGUGGAGGUAUGGAGGAAGAAUGUAUAUGGUUACGUUCUCGGCAUGAAAAAAAAUAAUAGGAAAAAGAAAAUAUAGAAAAAGGUGGAGCGGCGGAAACAUGAAAAAAAUAGAGGGAAAAAAAGACGAACUGCACAAAAAAACUAGAAAAAACAAAAAAAAAAAAAUAGAAAAAACAUUAAUAACUAGAAAAAAAGAUUAAUAACUAGAAAAAACAAAGAGAAAUAAAAACUAGAAAAAACAAAAAAAUAGAAAAAACAUUAAUAACUAGAAAAAAAGAUUAAUAACCAGAAAAAACAAAAAGAAAUAAAAACUAGAAAAAACAAAAAAAAAUAGAAAAAAACAUUAAUAACUAGAAAAAACAAAGAGAAAUAAAAACUAGAAAAAAAAAUAGA